RNAcentral lists this ribosomal RNA (432 nucleotides) under uncultured bacterium. Its description in RNAcentral is "partial 16S ribosomal RNA". It matches the Rfam family "Bacterial small subunit ribosomal RNA", at positions 29 to 506 of the family's 1533-position model. The record is from RNAcentral.
AACGAACGCUGGCGGCAUGCCUAACACAUGCAAGUCGAACGAGACCUUCGGGUCUAGUGGCGCACGGGUGCGUAACGCGUGGGAACCUGCCCUUAGGUUCGGAAUAACUCCCCGAAAGGGGUGCUAAUACCGGAUAAUGUCUUCGGACCAAAGAUUUAUCGCCUUUGGAUGGGCCCGCGUUGGAUUAGCUAGUUGGUAGGGUAAAAGCCUACCAAGGCGACGAUCCAUAGCUGGUCUGAGAGGAUGAUCAGCCACACUGGGACUGAGACACGGCCCAGACUCCUACGGGAGGCAGCAGUGGGGAAUAUGGGACAAUGGGCGAAAGCCUGAUCCAGCAAUGCCGCGUGAGUGAUGAAGGCGUUAGGGUUGUAAAGCUCUUUUACCCGGGAUGAUAAUGACAGUACCGGGAGAAUAAGCUCCGGCUAACUCCGU